GGGAUAGCCAUUUGGCAGGACUCAUAAUCCUUUGGUCCACGGUUCAAGUCCGUGUGGGCCCACCA
Molecule: transfer RNA, 65 nt
Filed under: Pseudomonas umsongensis
Lineage: Bacteria; Pseudomonadati; Pseudomonadota; Gammaproteobacteria; Pseudomonadales; Pseudomonadaceae
Description: tRNA_Met_CAT
Source: RNAcentral